RNAcentral lists this ribosomal RNA (260 nucleotides) under uncultured prokaryote. RNAcentral describes it as "partial 16S ribosomal RNA". It matches the Rfam family "Bacterial small subunit ribosomal RNA", at positions 524 to 782 of the family's 1533-position model. The record is from RNAcentral.
UACGGAGGAUCCGAGCGUUAUCCGGAUUUAUUGGGUUUAAAGGGUGCGCAGGCGGGAGAUUAAGUCGGCGGUGAAAUUUUGCAGCUUAACUGUAACAGUGCCGUUGAUACUGGGGAGCUAGGAUUUGGUUGCUGUGGGUGGAAUGUGUGGUGUAGCGGUGAAAUGCUUAGAUAUCACACAGAACACCGAUUGCGAAGGCAGCACACUAAGUCAUUAUUGACGCUGAGGCACGAAAGUGUGGGGAGUCAAACAGGAUUAGA